This 487-nucleotide long non-coding RNA is filed under the name Bos taurus (domestic cattle). RNAcentral's name for it is "long non-coding RNA NONBTAT016495". The record is from RNAcentral. Lineage: Eukaryota; Metazoa; Chordata; Mammalia; Artiodactyla; Bovidae.
CUGCAUCCUUUCCAUAAAAGGCUUGACAAUAAAAACAUACUAUCUGCACAGCCAAGUAGGGUACAGAAGUAGGCUUGAAGCUGUCAUAUUUUCAUGAAAUAACUUUAUUCUGCAGUGUUUUGAUAACUGGACGGCAGCCUGCCCAAAACAAGGUUUCAUAAAAUCCUCGUUUCCCCAAACUCCUCCCCACUGACUUAUGGGAGAACACUUGAAACGGAUCACUGAAGUGAAAAUAUGAGUGGUUUUGUUUUUCAUUUAAAGGGUGAGCAUGAGGAUGGGACAGGGAUUGUUGAUAAAUUUCAACCAUGAUAAAAUACAAUUAUUUACUAAGUGUACCUUGAUCUGAGCACUUGCUAUAGUUUGUUUCCUAAUUUUGCCACCGUUUUUUCUUAUAAGCAGCUCUGCAUACUGUCACACAUGUAUCAGGCAUGUUGUGUCAAAGCUGGUUAUUGCCUCAGUUCUCAGACCAAAUAUUUAUUCAAGUAAG